UUAAGUUCAGCGGGUAGUCCUACCUGAUUUGAGGUCAAAAUGUCAAGAGUUGUCCUGAAAGGACGGUUAUGAGCAGGUUCCCAUUAGUUUGCUUCAAAGUCAAGAUGGCAUAGAUAAUUAUCACACCAAGUGACGGUCCACAAGAGAUCCCACUAAUGCAUUUAAAGGGAGCAGACCAUCCACUGAAGGAAGCCAGCAAA
RNAcentral lists this unclassified non-coding RNA (200 nucleotides) under Mycena sp. RNAcentral describes it as "partial internal transcribed spacer 2". The record is from RNAcentral. Lineage: Eukaryota; Fungi; Basidiomycota; Agaricomycetes; Agaricales; Mycenaceae.